Molecule: ribosomal RNA, 2979 nt
Filed under: Candidatus Nanopusillus sp.
Lineage: Archaea; Nanobdellati; Nanobdellota; Candidatus Nanoarchaeia; Nanoarchaeales; Nanopusillaceae
Description: 23S ribosomal RNA
Rfam family: Archaeal large subunit ribosomal RNA
Source: RNAcentral
AGAACCCGCCCGGUGGAUGCCUGGGCUCGGGAGCCGAAGAAGGGGGUGGCAAGCGGCCAAAUGCCGCGGGGAGGUGCACGCAACCAUUGAUCCGCGGAUCCCCGAAUGGGAACUCCCGCUGGGGUAAAACCCCAGCACUCCGGGUUUAACCCGGAGGGGGAACGCGGGGAAGUGAAACAUCUCAAUACCCGCAGGAAAAGAAAGCAAAAGCGAUUCCCUGAGUAGGGGCGACCGAAAAGGGAGUAGCCCAAACCAAAUCCCGAGAGUAAUCUCUGGGAGAUGUGGGGUUGAGGACCCGAGAUUUUCCCCAAUUGGGAACCCGAACCCGGUGGAAGUCCGGGGCCGUAGAGGGUGACAGCCCCGUAGGGGUAACCAAUUGGGGAGCACUCGGGUUCCGGAGUACCGGCGGUUGGAUUUCCGUCGGGAAGCUGGGGGUAACCAACCCCCCAAGGCUAAAUACUCCCCGAGCCCGAUAGCGAACCAGUAGGGCGACCGAAAGGUGAAAAGAACCCGUGAUAGGGAGUGAAAAGAGCCUGAAACCGGGCGGGAAUAGUCUGGUGGGGCUGGUUAAGCUACUUACCUGGGAAACCGUUGGCGACACGGAAGUACCAGGUAAGUAGCUAACCGGUUCCACCGUACGUUUCGAAGAACGUGCGGGGGAGUGUGCCUGAGUGGCGAGGCUAAGAGAAAUCCCCGAAGCCGUAGGGAAACCGAGAACCCGCAACCCGGGUUUAUCCCGGGUGAGGGGUCCCGUCCCAAAAGGGCGGAUAGUCACUCAGGCACGACCAGAAACCGGGCGAUCUACCCCGGGGUAGGGUGAAGCGGGGAAUUCCCCGUGGAGGCCCGAAGGGGUGGGGUCUAAACCCCUCUCAUGACCCUGGGGUAGGGGUGAAAAGCCCAUCGAGCCCGGUGAUAGCUGGUUCCCGCCGAAAUUGGCCCCAGCCAAGCCUCGGGGGAGGAUCCCGUCGGUGUAGAGCCACGGAUUCUGGUGGGGUUUACCCACCAGAGUCCAACUCCGAAGCCGACGGGUCCGAAGAAUCCGGGAGACGGGGGAUGCGGGAAAGCCGCAUCUCCGAGACGGGAACAACCGAGAUCGGGGUUAAGGCCCCAAAGUGCCGGUUAAGUGAAAAUGAAGGGCGUCCGUCUCCUAAGACACCGGGGAUGUAGGCUUAGAAGCAGCCAUCAUCUAAGGAGUGCGUAACAGCUCACCCGGCGAGGGGGCGGGCCCCGAAAACGGACGGGUCUAAGCCGGCCGCCGAGACCCCGAGCUGGGGAUCCGAUGGAUCUCCGUGCAGUAGGCGGGCGUCCUGUCGGCCUAGAAGGGGACCCGAAAGGGUCUCUGGAGCCGACAGGAAUGAGAAUCCCCGCGGUAGUAGGAAUCGGACGGGUGAGAAUCCCGUCGGCCGAAAGGGGAAAGGGUUCCCAGGCAAUGAAGAUCAACCUGGGGUUAGUCGGUCCUAACCCGGGCCCUAACUAGGUCCCGGGGAAAGGGAAGGGGGUUAAUAUUCCCCCACCGCCCGGGUUAGGUGCGGCAACGCAAGCCCCUCUCCCGACCCCUCGGGCUAAGCCGACACGGGAUCGGGAUAAAACCCGAUUACCCGUGCCAACCGAGAUAGGACCGGGGAGAGCCGUAAUGGCGAGAACCGGUUUAAAUCGGGAUGGGGUCCCGUAAGGGGCUUCGGCUGAGGCCCGGGGGCCUUGAAAAGGGAGAGGGGAACGAUCCCGGGCGACCGUACCGCAAACCGGUACAGGUCCCCUGGGUGAGAAGCCUAAGGCCGUGGGGGUAACCCGGCCGAGGGAACUCGGCAAAUUAGCCCCGUAACUUCGGAAGAAGGGGUGCCUGCAGUGGUAGGUUAAUCCUGCCACCGCAGGUCACAGUGACAAGGGCGGGCCGACUGUUUACCAAAAACAUUGCCUCCGGCUAGCCCGUAAGGGUUAGUACCGGAGGUGACGCCUGCCCAGUGCCGGUACCUGAACCCCCCGUACAAGGGGGUUAAGGGCCGGUAAACGGCGGGGGUAACUCUGACCCUCUUAAGGUAGCGUAAUGCCUUGCCGGUUAAAUGCCGGCUCUGCGAACGGCGUAACGAGCCCGCCACUGUCCCCGGUCGGGACCCCCUGAACACGUCGUCCUGGUGAGAAGGCCAGGGACCCCCGAUGGGUAACAGAGACCCCGUGAAGCUUAACCGCAGCCUGCCGUUGCCCUGGGGAACCUGGUGUGUAGCGUAGCGGGGAGUUAUGAGCUCCGGCCGCUAGGUCGGAGGGAACGCUAAUGAAACACCCGCCUCCAGGUUCCCUGGGGCUAACCCCGUAAGGGGAACAGCGGCAGGUGGGCGGUUUGGCUGGGGCGGCACCCCGCCGAAAAGAUAUCGGCGGGGCCCAAAGGUCGGCUCAGGCGGGUCAGAACUCCGCCGUAGAGGGUAAGGCCAAAAGCCGGCCUGACUGCGCCCCGAUCAUCAAGGGGUGCAGGGGGGAAACCCGGGCCUAGCGAACCCCGUAUUCCCCUUGGUGAGGGUACGGGCUGGCGGAAAAGCUACUCCGGGGGUAACAGCGCCGUCGCGGGCGAGAGCCCCCAUCGACCCCGCGGUUUGCGACAUCGUUGUCGUCUCUCCCCAUCCUGGCGGUGCAGAAGCCGCCAAGGGUGGGGGUGCUCACCCAUUAAAGGGGAUCGUGAGAUGGGUUCAGAACGCCGCGAGGCAGUUCGGUCGCUAACUGUCGGGGGUGCCGACCGCCUGAGGGGAAGGUCCGCCUAGUACGAAAGGAACGGCGGGCCGCGGCCUCUGGUAUACGGGCUGUCCGACAAGGGCAAGCCCGGUAGCUACGCCGUAGGGGAUAAGCCCUGAAAGCAUCUAAGGGCGAACCCCUCCCCGAAAAUAGGCGGUCGUUAAGGGCUCGGGUAGAAGACCCGGUUGAUGGGGCGGCGGUGUAAGCCCUAAGGGUUUCCGAGGGGUGAGCCGACCGCUCCCAAUCGCCCGUGGGGCU